Non-coding RNA from Acanthosepion pharaonis, 147 nucleotides. The record is from the annotation of a GenBank genome assembly. Lineage: Eukaryota; Metazoa; Mollusca; Cephalopoda; Sepiida; Sepiidae.
UUACGGUCAAAUCACGCUGAAAACACCGGUUCUCGUUCGAUCACCGAAGGGCAAACGUCUUCGCUUACGGUCAAAUCAUCGUUCGAUCAGCCAGAGCCAGGUCAGUACUUAGAUGGGGGACCGCUUGGGAACACCUGGUACUGUAAG